CCUACGGGAGGCAGCAGUGAGGAAUAUUGGUCAAUGGGCGGAAGGCUGAACCAGCCAAGCCGCGUGAAGGACGAAGGCGCUAAGGAUUGUAAACUUCUUUUGUCAAGGGGCAAAAGCAGGCCCGAGAGGCUGACCGAGGGUACUUGAAGAAAAAGCAUCGGCUAACUCCGUGCCAGCAGCCGCGGUAAUACGGGGGAUCCGAGCGUUAUCCGGAUUUAUUGGGUUUAAAGGGUGCGUAGGCGGGUUGUUAAGUCAGCGGUAAAAGCCCGGGGCUCAACCCCGGCGAGCCGUUGAAACUGGGUAUCUAGAGAUGUCGAGAGGUAUGCGGAAUGCGCGGUGUAGCGGUGAAAUGCUUAGAUAUUGCGCAGAACUCCGAUUGCGAAGGCAGCAUACCGGCGGCGAUCUGACGCUGAGGCACGAAAGCGUGGGUAUCGAACAGGAUUAGAUACCCUUGUAGUC
This 459-nucleotide ribosomal RNA is filed under the name uncultured bacterium. Its description in RNAcentral is "partial 16S ribosomal RNA". It matches the Rfam family "Bacterial small subunit ribosomal RNA", at positions 338 to 795 of the family's 1533-position model. The record is from RNAcentral.